RNAcentral lists this small RNA (331 nucleotides) under Pan troglodytes (chimpanzee). Its description in RNAcentral is "retained intron". Lineage: Eukaryota; Metazoa; Chordata; Mammalia; Primates; Hominidae. The record is from RNAcentral.
GAUUCAGAAGAAAAGAAUUCCGUGGGAAGCUGGCGAUUGCCAUCACCGCCAACUUCAUAAACAGAAACAGCACAGCGGAAGCCAAGGUGGAAGAGAUUAGUGGUGUGGCUUUCAUCUUCAAUCAGAAAUUUUUUCAGGACCUUAAAGAAGAAACAGGCAUAGAUCUUGAGAACAUUGUUUACUACAAGGACUGCACCCACUAUUUUGUAAUGACAGCCAAGAAGCAGAGCCUGCUCGACAAAGGUGUCAUCAUUAACGUACGUACCUCUUGGCCGCGAUUUCCCGACUUCGCGACCUGGGCUGGUGACAUCAGCAGGUGUGAAGGCAGAUG